RNAcentral lists this ribosomal RNA (433 nucleotides) under uncultured bacterium. Its description in RNAcentral is "bacterial SSU rRNA". It matches the Rfam family "Bacterial small subunit ribosomal RNA", at positions 11 to 429 of the family's 1533-position model. The record is from RNAcentral.
GUUUGAUCCUGGCUCAGAGCGAACGUUAGCGGCAGGCUUAACACAUGCAAGUCGAGCGAGAAAGGGGCUUCGGCUCCGAGUAAAGCGGCGGACGGGUGCGUAACACGUGGAUAAUCUGCCUCGUGGCGGGGGACAACAGUCCGAAAGGACUGCUAAUACCGCAUGUCAGGUCGGAAAACUCCGGUUUCUGACGAAAAAGAGGGCGUCCGCAAGGAGCUCUCACCACGAGAUGAGUCCGCGUCCCAUCAGCUAGUUGGCGGUGUAAUGGACCACCAAGGCUUAGACGGGUAGCUGGUCUGAGAGGAUGACCAGCCACACUGGGACUGAGACACGGCCCAGACUCCUACGGGAGGCAGCAGUGGGGAAUAUUGGACAAUGGGCGAAAAGCCUGAUCCAGCCAUGCCGCGUGAGUGAUGAAGGCCUCGGUCGUAAG